GAUGAACGCUAGCUACAGGCUUAACACAUGCAAGUCGAGGGGUAACGGGAGGGAAGCUUGCUUUCCUUGUCGGCGACCGGCGCACGGGUGAGUAACGCGUAUCCAACCUGCCCCCAACUAGGGAAUAACCUUGCGAAAGUAAGACUAAUACCCUAUAAUUUCCUCAGAUGACAUCUGACGAGGAAUAAAGAUUUAUCGGUUGUGGAUGGGGAUGCGUCUGAUUAGCUUGUUGGCGGGGUAACGGCCCACCAAGGCAACGAUCAGUAGGGGUUCUGAGAGGAAGGUCCCCCACAUUGGAACUGAGACACGGUCCAAACUCCUACGGGAGGCAGCAGUGAGGAAUAUUGGUCAAUGGGCGGAAGCCUGAACCAGCCAAGUAGCGUGCAGGAUGACGGCCCUAUGGGUUGUAAACUGCUUUUAUAUAGGAAUAAAGUUAGCCACGUGUGGUUAUUUGUAGGUACUGUAUGAAUAAGGACCGGCUAAUUCCGUGCCAGCCGCCGCCGUAA
This 506-nucleotide ribosomal RNA is filed under the name uncultured bacterium. RNAcentral's name for it is "partial 16S ribosomal RNA". It matches the Rfam family "Bacterial small subunit ribosomal RNA", at positions 28 to 523 of the family's 1533-position model. The record is from RNAcentral.